GGAAGAUACCUCAAAAUUAUGAAAGCCAUAUGUGACAAAUUCCACAGUCAACAUCAUACUCAGUUGGGAAAAGUUGAAAGUAUUCCCCCUUAAAAACUGGAAAGAGACAAAGAUGCCAACUUUCACCACUCUUAUUCAAUAUAAUACUGGAAGUUCUAGCAAGAGCAAUCAGGCAAGAGAAAGAAAUAAAAAGCAUCCAAAUUGGGAAAUAAGAAAUUAUCUCUGCUCACUGAUGAUAUGAUUUUACAUCUAUAAAGCCCUGAAGACCCACCAAAAAUCCUAAACAAAUCAAACAAAGUUGUAGGCAUCCCAUUCCUGACCUCAAAUUAUACUAUAAGGCUAUAGUAACCAAAAUAUUGUGGUACUAGUAUAAAAGUAGAUCAAUAGAAAAAAUAGAAAACCCAGAAAUAAAGUCACAUAUCUACAACCAACUGAUCUUUGACAAAAUCAGCAAAAACAUACACUGGCAAAAGUACAUCUUUUUCAGUAAAUUGUGCUGGAAAAAUUAGAUUGCUCUAUUGAGAAGAAUGAAGCUGAACCUUUAUUUUUCACCAUUAAAAUAAUCAACUCAAAAUGGAUUAAAUGCUUCAAUUUAAGACCUGAAACUAUAAAAAUAUUAGAAGAAAACCUAAGGGAAACUAUUCUGGACAUUGGUCUAAGCAAAUAAUUCAUGACUAAGACCUCAAAAGCAUGCGCAACAAAAAUAAAAAUAGACAAAUGGGACUUAGUCUUCUGUACAGCAAAAGAAAUAAUCGACAAAGUAAACAGACAACCUGAAAAAUGAGAGAAAAUAAUUACAAACUAUGCAUCCAACAGGGGAAUAAUAUUCAGAAUUUAAAAAGAACUCAAACAAGACAAGACAAAACAAAACCCAGAAAUAACCACAAUAAAAAGUGUGCAAAUGACAUGAUUGAUUACUUUUCAAAAGAAGACAUGCAAAUGGCUGACCAAGCAUAUAAAAAAUUCUCAACAUCACAAAUAUUCAUUUUUAAGAAAUGUUCUGGUUUGCUUGGAGGCUGAUGGUCUCAGAACCAUACUUGAGAAUCAUAGUCCCAUUGAGUGCAACAAUAAGGCCUUGUAGUCCAUGGUAGGAAUUCUGGACAUAAUCCUGUGGGUUUGCGGAAUCACCAGAGAAUUAGCAAAGGAAUGACAAAGUCAGAUUCUGGUAGCAGAAUGGGAAAAGGAUGUAUUGGCAGGAGGAAAAUUGGCUGCAAAGAGAUGAAGACCCUGGGACUUAGGAAGCUAAAGUGUCCGGCCCAAGGUCAUGAAUAUAUACCAUGCUGGGACUGGGACCAAAGCACUGAAAAUCAGAACACGUGAGUUAUUUCUGCAAAACUGACCAGCCUACCAAGGACCAACAGAAAUCUGCUAGCCUAUAUUCACUUCACUUUUCAUUCCUCCUGAUAUAGCAGCAUCUUUCCACCGUGGAGGUGCAAUACCACAGUUUUUGGCCUGAGGGUAUCUCAGAGUGAGAACACAAUGGAGCAGAGGGAUGUUCAGCCAAAUCCUCUUUUUCACCUCGUGUACAAGGAAUAUGCAUCUCCAAGGUGCAAGGAACAGAACAUGGAAGCUGAACAGUGGAAACCACUUUUUUCUUUGUACCCAUAUUGGCAGUGGGGUCUAACAACCAUAACAACAAAAAUAACAGGGGAAUCUAGGAAAGCAGAUGUCUUGAUUCUUAAAGAAAAUAAAGGUGGCAAUUAAAUACUGACAAGAAAAAUAAUAAAAAUAAGAAGAAAGAAAAGAACAGAGAAGGAAAGACCGCCUCCUCCCUCAACUGUAUACAGCGAUCCUGAC
RNAcentral lists this long non-coding RNA (1797 nucleotides) under Homo sapiens (human). RNAcentral's name for it is "HSALNT0059261". Lineage: Eukaryota; Metazoa; Chordata; Mammalia; Primates; Hominidae. The record is from RNAcentral.